AGUCGAGCGGGGUGAUGUAGCUUGCUACAUUACCUAGCGGCGGACGGGUGAGUAAUGCUUAGGAAUCUGCCUAUUAGUGGGGGACAACAUUCCGAAAGGAAUGCUAAUACCGCAUACGUCCUACGGGAGAAAGCAGGGGAUCUUCGGACCUUGCGCUAAUAGAUGAGCCUAAGUCAGAUUAGCUAGUUGGUGGGGUAAAGGCCUACCAAGGCGACGAUCUGUAGCGGGUCUGAGAGGAUGAUCCGCCACACUGGGACUGAGACACGGCCCAGACUCCUACGGGAGGCAGCAGUGGGGAAUAUUGGACAAUGGGCGCAAGCCUGAUCCAGCCAUGCCGCGUGUGUGAAGAAGGCCUUUUGGUUGUAAAGCACUUUAAGCGAGGAGGAGGCUACUUGGAUUAAUACUCUAGGAUAGUGGACGUUACUCGCAGAAUAAGCACCGGCUAACUCUGUGCCAGCAGCCGCGGUAAUACAGAGGGUGCGAGCGUUAAUCGGAUUUACUGGGCGUAAAGCGUGCGUAGGCGGCUUCUUAAGUCGGAUGUGAAAUCCCUGAGCUUAACUUAGGAAUUGCAUUCGAUACUGGGAGGCUAGAGUAUGGGAGAGGAUGGUAGAAUUCCAGGUGUAGCGGUGAAAUGCGUAGAGAUCUGGAGGAAUACCGAUGGCGAAGGCAGCCAUCUGGCCUAAUACUGACGCUGAGGUACGAAAGCAUGGGGAGCAAACAGGAUUAGAUACCCUGGUAGUCCAUGCCGUAAACGAUGUCUACUAGCCGUUGGGGCCUUUG
RNAcentral lists this ribosomal RNA (780 nucleotides) under uncultured bacterium. RNAcentral's name for it is "bacterial SSU rRNA". It matches the Rfam family "Bacterial small subunit ribosomal RNA", at positions 60 to 834 of the family's 1533-position model. The record is from RNAcentral.